RNAcentral lists this small nuclear RNA (136 nucleotides) under Salvator merianae (Argentine black and white tegu). Its description in RNAcentral is "U2 spliceosomal RNA (ENSSMRG00000001812.1)". It matches the Rfam family "U2 spliceosomal RNA". From Rfam's summary of the family: U2 is a small nuclear RNA (snRNA) component of the spliceosome (involved in pre-mRNA splicing). Complementary binding between U2 snRNA (in an area lying towards the 5' end but 3' to hairpin I) and the branchpoint sequence (BPS) of the intron results the bulging out of an unpaired adenosine, on the BPS, which initiates a nucleophilic attack at the intronic 5' splice site, thus starting the first of two transesterification reactions that mediate splicing. The record is from RNAcentral. Lineage: Eukaryota; Metazoa; Chordata; Lepidosauria; Squamata; Teiidae.
AUUGCUUCUCAGCCUUUUGGCUAAGAUCAAAUGCAGUAUCUGUUCUUAUCAGUUAGAUAUCUGAUAUGUUCUCUGUUUGAGAACGUGGAUUUUUGGACCUGGGGGUUGGAAAAGGGGCUAACAUUUCAAAUAAAUA